AUUUAUAUUAUUUAUUUUAAUUUAUUUGAUGUCUUGUGUCUUGUAAAAAGACCUCUAGAUCUCUUUUUAUUACAGUUGCUUGUAUAUUUUUAAUACACUUGGUUGUAUGCUUUUUUAUAUUACAGUUGGCUGGUUAUAACUCAUUUAUCAGGGCAAAUCGAUUGGGUACAUGAUUCACUUGCAGAAAAUCCUGGUGAUGAAAUUAGUCCAUUUUCACAUUGAACAAACAAAAUCAGAUCAUUAUCUGCAGUGGCCAUUUCACUUGUUUUACAUAGUUUUGCAGAUAUUCUUUAUGCAUAUGGAAAAUUUGCGAACAGAUUUAUGUGGGAAUUCAAUUUUUGUUUGCUUUGCAUAUUGAAAGGAAAAAAUGUCCGUCCUUCACCCUAAAGGCAUUCAUCAGAAUCAAGAUAUAAGUGAUAUGCUGUAAAACAGAAGUGGCAUCUUAUUACAUGCAUAUAUUAUUUUUUUCUAUGUAGAUACUAGCUACUAGAGAAUCGAACAAUAUUUGUCCUAGUCCUACUUUAGUUAAUAUCUGUUCAAAAGGAGUGGAAUUUACAAAACUUCAAGGUUCAAGUAAGCGGAAUAUAUUUUCUUUAAUUUCUGCUAUUUUGUCCCAAAUUUUGUAAUACUGUCCCCAACUAAAAAAAAAACUACCUUUUUUUUUUUUUGCAAAUAUAGCCCAUUUGUUGGGAUCCUAUACACAUUUAUUUCUGGAUAUGUAAGAAAUUCUGAUAAUAAUUAAAAAGAAAAGACAGAUGUCCACCUAAUAUUUAAAGAGACCCACAAAAUUGAUCUACCAGUGUUAUGUUAUAUAUAAAAGCAACAUAAUUUCUCUUACACAAACAUGAAGAUGAUAAACAAAUCCUCAUGAAUUGUACAAAAUGCAAAUGUUCUUUCUCCUUUCAAGAGAGGACAUGCCUCCUUAUAGAACACUUCCAAUAAUAGGCUUGGGAACUCUAGUAUCGAUGUAGUUUACCAAACCCAUCAAGCCUAGACUGUUAACGUAGAUCUGUCACUUUUAGGGUCCUUGCAUAUUUUGCAAAGACCCCAAAAGUGCCAGAUCCAGUGUGGGUCUGGUGGGCGCAGGUUGAAGUGGAACGUAAGACUUUCUAACCUCAAGCUGUCCAUUGCGGCUGCCGCCAUCUUGGUCCCACAGGUUCUUCUCCAGGUCCACUUCAGCUACCAGGAGCCUCAAGUGCUGUACUUUCGCGUAUGCACAAGAGUACAACACUGAGGUGUAUGGACGAUCCCAUGAGUCUUCAAUAGCGUCCAUAGAUAAUACCUGAAUCCCACAGCUAUUACUAAUGAUGGCUGCUAGGAAUGAACAAAAGUUGACAGCAGAGCUCUGCCUUUUGUCAACGUUAGUCAACCUGAGGCUUGUCCAUAAGGCAAAGUAGUCCCUAGUUUUUCUUAUAGUAUCUUUGGAUUGCGUUGGAAUUUUUAUGACAUUCCAAUACAAUCUUAAUCAAUAUUUUAUAAAAAAAUAUAUAUUUAUUUGGAAUACUGAAAAGUUACAGAUCUGCUUUAAAUUCUGUCUGACCACCAUCGAUAUUACUAAUGCACAACAAACAAAAUGCCCCAGGGUAACUAUGCAAAUAACCCUCCUUUGAAAGACAAGUUUACAUUCUGGCAUUAACCCUUGGAGACUGUUGGCUCCUUUGGUUGACUCCAAAUGUUGUGGAAAAUAUUUGCUUGCUGAUAAACACGAGCAAUGAUUUGCAUAAUCAAUUUUCCAGGCUAAGAAUAAUGGGACCACAAGAGCUGGGUUGCCGAAAUUGGCCAUCACUGGUGUAGAAGGUGUGAGAUGUGCUACUGGCUGAUUUACUCACUCCUUCUGCACUUAAAGAGUUAAAUAUAUCAAUGAAAUUAUAUUACAGAAUGGCAUCACAGAUUUUCUGCACCUUUGCAUUUUAUGAGGAGUAACAUUUAUCACUGUGUGUGAAUCAGAACAUACACUUGAAUAUUUGACAUAAGAAAAAGCCACGCCAGUUAUGAUCACGUAAGCAAACCUGGGGCUGAAAUGAUCUCAGCGUGUUAGUUGAGAGACUGUUAUUUUAUACUGCAUAGAAUAUGUUUUAUGGUUUUUUAAAGAAAAAGAAUGAAAAAAAAACAACAAAAAGGCAAAAAAUAAAACAACUUUCUUG
Non-coding RNA from Pelobates cultripes (western spadefoot toad), 2144 nucleotides. NCBI's taxonomy places the organism in Eukaryota, Metazoa, Chordata, Amphibia, Anura, Pelobatidae. The record is from the annotation of a GenBank genome assembly.